This 494-nucleotide ribosomal RNA is filed under the name uncultured bacterium. RNAcentral describes it as "partial 16S ribosomal RNA". It matches the Rfam family "Bacterial small subunit ribosomal RNA", at positions 28 to 507 of the family's 1533-position model. The record is from RNAcentral.
GACGAACGCUGGCGGCGCGCUUAACACAUGCAAGUCGAACGGAAAGGCCUGCUUUCCCUUGUGGAUUGCGGGUACUCGAGUGGCGAACGGGUGAGUAACACGUGAGUGAUCUGCCCCCAACUUGGGUAUAAGCCUGGGAAACUGGGUCUAAUUCCCGAUAGGACUGCAGGGUGGUGCCUGUGGUGGAAAACGAUUUUCUAGUGGUUGGGGAUGAGCUCGCGGCCUAUCAGCUUGUUGGUGGGGUAAUGGCCUACCAAGGCGGCGACGGGUAGCCGGCCUGAGAGGGGGGACGGCCACAUUGGGACUGAGAUACGGCCCAGACGCCUACGGGAGGCAGCAGUGGGGAAUAUUACACAAUGGGCGGAAGCCUGAUGCAGCGACGCCGCGUGGGGGAUGACGGCCUUCGGGUUGUAAACUCCUUUCGACCGCGAGGAAGCCACCUGGUUGGAAGGGUGGUGACGGUAGUGGUAGAAGAAGCACCGGCUAACUACGUG